CCUACGGGAGGCUGCAGUGAGGAAUAUUGGUCAAUGGGCGGAAGCCUGAACCAGCCAAGUCGCGUGAGGGAUUAAGGCCCUGCGGGUCGUAAACCUCUUUUGCCGGGGAGCAGAGGUCCGGACGUGUCCGGGCCGGGAGAGUACCCGGAGAAAAAGCAUCGGCUAACCCCGUGCCAGCAGACGCGGUAAUACGGAGGAUGCGAGCGUUAUCCGGAUUUAUGGGGUUUAAAGGGUGCGUAGGCGGGCAUUUAAGCCGGCGGUCAAAUGUCGGGGCUCAACCCCGGCCUGCCGUCGGAACUGGGUGCCUUGAGUGGGCGAGAAGUAGGCCGAAUGCGUGGUGUAGCGGUGAAAUGCAUAGAUAUCACGCAGAACUCCGAUCGCGAAGGCAGUCUACCGGCGCGCAACUGACGCUCAUGCACGAAAGCGUGGGUAUCGAACAGGAUUAGAUACCCGGGUAGUC
This 460-nucleotide ribosomal RNA is filed under the name uncultured bacterium. Its description in RNAcentral is "partial 16S ribosomal RNA". It matches the Rfam family "Bacterial small subunit ribosomal RNA", at positions 338 to 795 of the family's 1533-position model. The record is from RNAcentral.